This 434-nucleotide ribosomal RNA is filed under the name uncultured bacterium. RNAcentral's name for it is "partial 16S ribosomal RNA". It matches the Rfam family "Bacterial small subunit ribosomal RNA", at positions 29 to 507 of the family's 1533-position model. The record is from RNAcentral.
AGCGAACGCUGGCGGCAGGCCUAACACAUGCAAGUCGAACGAACCUUUCGGGGUUAGUGGCGGACGGGUGAGUAACACGUGGGAACGUGCCUUUAAGUUCGGAAUAACUCAGGGAAACUUGUGCUAAUACCGAAUGUGCCCUUCGGGGGAAAGAUUUAUCGCCUUUAGAGCGGCCCGCGUCUGAUUAGCUAGUUGGUUGAGGUAAUGGCUCACCAAGGCGACGAUCAGUAGCUGGUCUGAGAGGAUGAUCAGCCACAUUGGGACUGAGACACGGCCCAAACUCCUACGGGAGGCAGCAGUGGGGAAUCUUGCGCAAUGGGCGAGAGCCUGACGCAGCCAUGCCGCGUGAAUGAUGAAGGUCUUAGGAUUGUAAAAUUCUUUCACCGGGGACGAUAAUGACGGUACCCGGAGAAGAAGCCCCGGCUAACUUCGUG